Non-coding RNA from Triticum urartu, 74 nucleotides. The record is from Rfam. NCBI's taxonomy places the organism in Eukaryota, Viridiplantae, Streptophyta, Magnoliopsida, Poales, Poaceae.
AGCGGGGUAGAGGAAUUGGUCAAAUCAUCAAGCUCAUGACCUGAAGACUGUAGGUUCGAAUCUUGUCCCCGCCU